Molecule: ribosomal RNA, 440 nt
Filed under: uncultured bacterium
Lineage: Bacteria
Description: partial 16S ribosomal RNA
Rfam family: Bacterial small subunit ribosomal RNA
Source: RNAcentral
CCUACGGGCGGCAGCAGUGGGGAAUAUUGCACAAUGGGGGAAACCCUGAUGCAGCGACGCCGCGUGAGCGAUGAAGUAUUUCGGUAUGUAAAGCUCUAUCAGCAGGGAAGAAGAUGACGGUACCUGACUAAGAAGCCCCGGCGAACUACGUGCCAGCAGCCGCGGUAAUACGUAGGGGGCAAGCGUUAUCCGGAUUUACUGGGUGUAAAGGGAGCGGAGGCGGCGAUGCAAGCCAGAUGGGAAAGCCCGGGGCUCAACCCCGGGACUGCAUUUGAAACUGGGUGGCUGGAGUGUCGGAGAGGCAGGCGGAAUUCCUAGUGUAGCGGUGAAAUGCGUAGAUAUUAGGAGGAACACCAGUGGCGAAGGCGGCCUGCUGGACGAUGACUGACGUUGAGGCUCGAAAGCGUGGGGAGCAAACAGGAUUAGAUACCCCGGUAGUC